RNAcentral lists this non-coding RNA (502 nucleotides) under Pan troglodytes (chimpanzee). Lineage: Eukaryota; Metazoa; Chordata; Mammalia; Primates; Hominidae. The record is from RNAcentral. RNAcentral also lists the same sequence under 1 other name.
GAGCAAAGCGCCACGCCCCGCGAGGGUAAGCGAUCUACGCCCUACCCCACCGGAGAGCUUCUGGGCGCGUCCCCUUCUCCGGGAGACCUAAGGAGGGCAACCACCGCUCCCAAUCUCCCUUGGCGGCGAGAACUGGAGGCAGGUGCACCCACCACUAGAAUUUGAACAUCCUAAGAACAGGUAUUUUUGUCUCUGCUUUGCUGAUGUAUCCUCAGCAACCGGAACUGCCUGACAUCUGAUCCUUUCUGUGAGACACCAGGCUGUUGAGGAAGAAUCUAUGGCAACAUUGUAUCUAUUAAUAUACAGCUUCUGUAUUUAUCAGGCCCAGUUCUGGUGAUGAUUUCACUUUUGACAGAAGCUGUCCCUCAAAAGCAAACAUGCAAUAGAAGAAACAGAUCUCAAUGGAGUCUCACUCUGUCACCCAGGAUGGAGUACAGUGGCGUGAUCUCGGCUCACUGCAAGCUCCGCCUCCUGGGUUCAUGCCAUUCUCCUGCCUUAGCCU